CAGAAGUUGUGGAGAGCUGAGUGAGCAGGAGGAAGACUAGGGCAGUCCAAGGGAGCUGGCUGGAAAGAAAAGGUUUGGUUGUGCACUGCUUGGGGAGGAGGAAACCUUGGUAUCUCGUUUCAGCUGUUCCAAGUGCAGAGGAUCUCAACCUGUUACCUGCUCACACAUCAAUUUGUAAUCAUAUAGUACCACUGUUACUAAAUUCA
Lepidothrix coronata (blue-crowned manakin) is the source of this 206-nucleotide long non-coding RNA. RefSeq lists it as uncharacterized. The record is from RefSeq and is a predicted model, not a curated record. The transcript is spliced from 2 exons. Lineage: Eukaryota; Metazoa; Chordata; Aves; Passeriformes; Pipridae.